Molecule: long non-coding RNA, 1514 nt
Organism: Pogonomyrmex barbatus (red harvester ant)
Lineage: Eukaryota; Metazoa; Arthropoda; Insecta; Hymenoptera; Formicidae
Source: RefSeq, a predicted model, not a curated record
UAUCUUUCAAAUCAUUCGCUUAAACAAAAAUUUUAACACAUCUACAAUAAACAAUUUAAUUCUCAGUUGUUGGCAAUCAUGAUGGUCGAGUUAACCAUCGGUUAGCUUAACCGAAGAUUGGUGAAAGAGACCCUAAACGAUGCUUCGAGUAAAUUGUUUCAAUAUGGCCGUUGCUAGAAAUAUGAAUAACCAAAAAAAAAUAAUAUUAAAGCUUGUUCUGAAAGAAUUAAUAGAAUCGUCUUCAUCAUCUAAUAGCGACGAAGAUUUGGAUACUCUUGGUAAUUUAGAAAUUGUAUCGAACAAAAAUUCCAAGAUUGCAGAAUUAUGUGGAAGAGGUGGUGCCUAGAUGGAGAGAUGCAGAAUUUAAAUCACAUUUUAGAUAAUAAUAAAUUAUCUGAUUUUGAUUUCUCUUCAAAAUUUUGUAUAUCAUCAGUACAAUGGAAAGAUGUUCAGAAACACUUUUGAAUUCAUACUCUCAAUAAUUGCUCCAAAUUUGGAAAAAUAUUAUCCAGGAUUAGAAAUGAUUUUUCCAGAGAAACAGUUUCUUAUCUGUAUUUGGAGAAUGGUUACUCCAAAUUCUUAGAGAUCAAUAUGUGAAAAAUUUAAUAUCAACAACUUUAUUAACAACACGACGAGUUACUAAAGCACUUAUAAAUUUGGCAUCAAUAUUUAUCAAAUGGCCAGUAGGAGACAAUGUUCAAGAAAUUUGGGCAAGUUUUGAAGCAAUUAGUGCUUUUCCAAAAGUUAUAGAAAGUUAUAAAAGCUAUAGACGGCAUCAUUCACAUCAAUAUUCCAUCUCCAUGUAUAAAUCCAGAGACUUAUGUUAAUCGAAAAGGCUAUUUUUCCAUUCAGCUGCAAGGAAUUUGUGAUCAUACUUCGUUUUACUCAUUGUUAUAUUGGAUAUGUUGGUUCUGUAUGUGAUCAGCGUGUCUUUCAUCUUUCAGAAAUCCAGGAUGCAUUGGGCAAUCCAGAAAAAUUUCCUGAUGUCACUUAAUUGAUGAUGCAUAUAAGCUUCAUGACAAUUUAAUGAUUUUCUAUCAUGAUAAUGGUCAUUUGAUUGAAUGACAAAAAUUACAAUUACUGCCAAUCUUCAGCGCGAAUUGCCAUUGAAAGAGCGUUUAGUCUUUUGAAAAGAUGAUUUCGAAACUUAUUACACCAUCUCCCUAUAAAUCGAACUGAUUUAAUUGCUCAUUUUAUACUUGCUUGUUAUGUCUUGCAUAACAUUUGUACAUUUAAAGGUGAUUUUGACGUUCUUCCAUUAAAUAAUGAGAUAGACAAUAAUAUUCAUCGACAAGUUGUUAUAGAUAAUGCACAAGCAGGUAUAAUUAAAAGUGAUUUAAUCUGUGAAAGACUUCCAAUGUGAUAUAUGUAAUUUUAAGACGAUUCCAAUUUACUAAAAAUAUAAUAUAUUUGUUAUAUUUGAAGGAAUUAUUUAAUUUUAUUAGAAUUUUUAAUAAUGCGAACAAUGCAAUAAGAAUAGAGAAAGAGUAUGAAUAAAAGAAUACUUUAUUUAU